CAGCAGCCGCGGUAAUACGUAGGGUGCGAGCGUUAAUCGGAAUUACUGGGCGUAAAGCGUGCGCAGGCGGUUUUGUAAGACAGAUGUGAAAUCCCCGGGCUUAACCUGGGAACUGCAUUUGUGACUGCAAGGCUAGAGUAUGGCAGAGGGGGGUAGAAUUCCACGUGUAGCAGUKAAAUGCGUAGAGAUGUGGAGGAAURCCGAUGGCGAAGGCAGCCCCCU
This 222-nucleotide ribosomal RNA is filed under the name uncultured Burkholderiaceae bacterium. Its description in RNAcentral is "partial 16S ribosomal RNA". It matches the Rfam family "Bacterial small subunit ribosomal RNA", at positions 509 to 730 of the family's 1533-position model. The record is from RNAcentral. Lineage: Bacteria; Pseudomonadati; Pseudomonadota; Betaproteobacteria; Burkholderiales; Burkholderiaceae.